This 762-nucleotide ribosomal RNA is filed under the name uncultured bacterium. RNAcentral's name for it is "bacterial SSU rRNA". It matches the Rfam family "Bacterial small subunit ribosomal RNA", at positions 771 to 1532 of the family's 1533-position model. The record is from RNAcentral.
AACAGGAUUAGAUACCCUGGUAGUCCACGCCGUAAACGAUGUCGACUUGGAGGCUGUUCCCUUGAGGAGUGGCUUCCGGAGCUAACGCGUUAAGUCGACCGCCUGGGGAGUACGGCCGCAAGGUUAAAACUCAAAUGAAUUGACGGGGGCCCGCACAAGCGGUGGAGCAUGUGGUUUAAUUCGAUGCAACGCGAAGAACCUUACCUACUCUUGACAUCCAGAGAAUUUAGCAGAGAUGCUUUAGUGCCUUCGGGAACUCUGAGACAGGUGCUGCAUGGCUGUCGUCAGCUCGUGUUGUGAAAUGUUGGGUUAAGUCCCGCAACGAGCGCAACCCUUAUCCUUUGUUGCCAGCGCGUAAUGGCGGGAACUCAAAGGAGACUGCCGGUGAUAAACCGGAGGAAGGUGGGGAUGACGUCAAGUCAUCAUGGCCCUUACGAGUAGGGCUACACACGUGCUACAAUGGCGCAUACAAAGAGAAGCGACCUCGCGAGAGCAAGCGGACCUCAUAAAGUGCGUCGUAGUCCGGAUUGGAGUCUGCAACUCGACUCCAUGAAGUCGGAAUCGCUAGUAAUCGUAAAUCAGAAUGUUACGGUGAAUACGUUCCCGGGCCUUGUACACACCGCCCGUCACACCAUGGGAGUGGGUUGCAAAAGAAGUAGAUAGCUUAACCUUCGGGAGGGCGUUUACCACUUUGUGAUUCAUGACUGGGGUGAAGUCGUAACAGGUAACCGUAGGGGAAACCUGCGGCUGGAUCACCUCCUU